GACGAACGCUGGCGGCGUGCUUAACACAUGCAAGUCGAACGGAAAGGCCCUGCUUUUGUGGGGUGCUCGAGUGGCGAACGGGUGAGUAACACGUGAGUAACCUGCCCUUGACUUUGGGAUAACUUCAGGAAACUGGGGCUAAUACCGGAUAGGAGCUCCUGCUGCAUGGUGGGGGUUGGAAAGUUUCGGCGGUUGGGGAUGGACUCGCGGCUUAUCAGCUUGUUGGUGGGGUAGUGGCUUACCAAGGCUUUGACGGGUAGCCGGCCUGAGAGGGUGACCGGGCAGAUUGGGAGAGCAGUAAGGCGGCGACUGAUGCGGGGGGGAGCAGAGCGGGGUGUUGCAGGAUGGCAGGAAGCCUGAUGCCGACACGCCGCGGGCGGGCAGACGGCGAGCGGGUGGGAAAACGGGUAGGACUGUGACGAAGCGUGAGGGACGGGGAGGGGUAAAGAGACACGGCCUAAGUACGCG
This 468-nucleotide ribosomal RNA is filed under the name uncultured bacterium. RNAcentral describes it as "partial 16S ribosomal RNA". The stretch from base 12 to 374 matches the Rfam family "Bacterial small subunit ribosomal RNA", at positions 39 to 400 of the family's 1533-position model. The record is from RNAcentral.